Molecule: ribosomal RNA, 1473 nt
Filed under: uncultured Bordetella sp.
Lineage: Bacteria; Pseudomonadati; Pseudomonadota; Betaproteobacteria; Burkholderiales; Alcaligenaceae
Description: partial 16S-23S ribosomal RNA intergenic spacer
Rfam family: Bacterial small subunit ribosomal RNA
Source: RNAcentral
GAGUUCGAUCCUGGCUCAGAUUGAACGCUGGCGGGAUGCUUUACACAUGCAAGUCGAACAGCAGCACGGACUUCGGUCUGGUGGCGAGUGGCGAACAGUGAUAUCAUCAUGGAACGUGCACAGUAGCGGGGGAUAACUACGCGAAAGCGUGGCUGUACCAUACGCCCUUCGGGGAAAGCAGGGGACCUUCGGGCCUCGCACUAUUAGAGCGGCCGAUAUCGGAUUAGCUGGUUAGUGCGUUAACGGCUCCUGCGGGCCGACGAUCCGUAGCUGGUUUGAGAGGACGACCAGCCACACUGGGACUGAGACGGCCAGACUCCUACGGGAGGCAGCAGUGGGGAAUUUUAGGACAAUGGGGGAAACCCUGAUCCAGCCAUCCCGCGUGUGCGAUGAGGCGCUGGGUUGUAAGCACUUUUGGCAGGGAAAGAAUCGGCACGGGAUAAUACCCGUGCAACUGACAGUACCUGCAGAAUAAAAGCGCCGUAACUACGUGCCAGCAGCCGCGGUAAUACGUAGGGUGCAGCGUUAAUCAGGUUACUGGGCGUAAAGCGUGCGCGAGCGGUUCGGAAAGAAAGAUGUGAAAUCCCAGAGCUUAACUUGCAGAACUUGCAUUUUUAACUACCGAGCUAGAGUGUGUCAGAGGAGGUGGAAUUCCGCGUGUAGCAGUGAAGUAAAGCUGGAAUAUGCGGAGAACUGCUUGAUGAAGGCAGCCUCUGGGAUGUUUGGCCGCUCCAUGCACGAAAGCGUGGGGAGCAAACAGGAUUCGAAUGCCCUGGUGAUCCACGCCCUAAACGAUGUCAACUAGCUGUUGGGGCCUUCGGGCCUUGGUAAAGCGCAACUAACGCGUGAAGUUGACCGCCUGGGAGUACGGUCGCAAGAUUAAAACUCAAAGAAUUCGACGGGGACCCGCACAAGCGGUGGAUGAUGUGGAUUAAUUCCGAUGCAACACGAAAACCUUACCUGCCUGCUGGCGCGUAGAUCCCGAAGAGAUUUAGGUGUCGCAAGAGAACCGGAACACAGGUGCUGCAUGGCUGUCGUCAGCUCGUCGUGGAGGAUGUUGGGUUAAAGUCCCGCAACGAGCGCAACCCUUGUCGUGCUUAGUUGCUACGAAAGGGCACUCCUAAUGGGAGCUGCCGGUGACAAGCCGGGGGAAGGUGGGGAUGACGUCAAGUCACUCAAGCUUGCUAUGGGUAGGGCUUCACGUCAUCUGGUAAGUUCCGGGACCGAAGUUAACUAGCCCGCGGGGAGCCAAUCCGAAGGCAGUCGUAGUCCGGAUCAUGAUCGCAGCUCGACUGCGUGAAGUCCAGGAAUCCGCUGUGAAUCGCGAGGAUCGCUGUGCGGUGGACCGUUCCGGUCUGUACACACCGCCCGUCACACCAUGGAAUUAAGGUUUUACCAAGUAGUUAACCUAACCGUAAGGAGGGCGAUUACCACGGUAGGAUUCAUGACUGGGGUGAAGUCGUAACAAGGUAG